AGAGUUUGAUCAUGGCUCAGGACGAACGCUGGCGGCGUGCUUAACACAUGCAAGUCGAACGGAAAGGCCCUUCGGGGUACUCGAGUGGCGAACGGGUGAGUAACACGUGGGUGAUCUGCCCUGCACUUUGGGAUAAGCCUGGGAAACUGGGUCUAAUACCGAAUAUGACCAUGCACUUCCUGGUGUGUGGUGGAAAGCUUUUGCGGUGUGGGAUGGGCCCGCGGCCUAUCAGCUUGUUGGUGGGGUAAUGGCCUACCAAGGCGACGACGGGUAGCCGGCCUGAGAGGGUGACCGGCCACACUGGGACUGAGAUACGGCCCAGACUCCUACGGGAGGCAGCAGUGGGGAAUAUUGCACAAUGGGCGCAAGCCUGAUGCAGCGACGCCGCGUGAGGGAUGACGGCCUUCGGGUUGUAAACCUCUUUCAGCACAGACGAAGCGCAAGUGACGGUAUGUGCAGAAGAAGGACCGGCCAACUACGUGCCAGCAGCCGCGGUAAUACGUAGGGUCCGAGCGUUGUCCGGAAUUACUGGGCGUAAAGAGCUCGUAGGUGGUUUGUCGCGUUGUUCGUGAAAACUCACAGCUUAACUGUGGGCGUGCGGGCGGUACGGGCAGACUUGAGUACUGCAGGGGAGACUGGAAUUCCUGGUGUAGCGGUGGAAUGCGCAGAUAUCAGGAGGAACACCGGUGGCGAAGGCGGGUCUCUGGGCAGUAACUGACGCUGAGGAGCGAAAGCGUGGGGAGCGAACAGGAUUAGAUACCCUGGUAGUCCAA
This 773-nucleotide ribosomal RNA is filed under the name uncultured bacterium. RNAcentral describes it as "bacterial SSU rRNA". It matches the Rfam family "Bacterial small subunit ribosomal RNA", at positions 8 to 798 of the family's 1533-position model. The record is from RNAcentral.